Molecule: long non-coding RNA, 2859 nt
Filed under: Citrus maxima (pomelo)
Lineage: Eukaryota; Viridiplantae; Streptophyta; Magnoliopsida; Sapindales; Rutaceae
Description: long non-coding RNA (CMAX_LNC002568)
Source: RNAcentral
CGAUUAUAAAUCAAUCACCCUUUACUGAAGAGAUUACAAACUUUCAAAGAAAACAAGAAUUAUUGAAUUUGGUUGAGAAACAAAACAGAAAAAACUAGGCGCUAUCCAAUAGCCCUGAAAUUUUCUAGAAACACACUUAGCAGCCUUAGCGACGCAAGCCACGUCAGCAAAAUUAUUUGCACAAUGACCCCUAAACUAUAGUCAAUCAGCACUCUGAUCCACGAACUCUCUCUCGUUUGCACUUAGGUCCCAAAAACAAAAUUCAUUUCUUCACAGCAGCGUAUCCCGAUAAACUAAGGCUAUGUUCAGUUGGCAGGAGAGAAGCCUGGAAAGGAAAGAAUCUCAGUUUCCUAAGAAGUUUCCGCUAGUCGGUUUGCAACAAUUUACCGUUGAAACCAAAUUCUGAGAAAUCCACAUUCUGUGAUUUGAGGAAUUGACCUUCCUCUUUGAUUAGCAAGGAUGAUGUGGGAGGGAAUCUCAUUUAAAUAGAGUGAGUUUCCAUUUUACCCUUACUUAAAUAUUAAUUUCGUAUUUCGAUCUUUAACCAAAUUAAAUGAAAUAUGACCGUAAUUCGCAUUUCGUGUUCAGCAUCUCUCUUAUCUGAACUAUCGGCAGCUCUCACCGGCGAUGUGCAGCUAUUGCGACGGCGUUUGAAUCUUAUUACCUUUCGCCGAUGAGCUCCAAGCCAAUGACAAAGACCUUCAUUGCUAUAGGCGACGACAUUUGAAUCGUAUGAGCUUUCUCAUCCCUUUCAACCAUUUUAAUUUUGUUUCUUUGGUUAUUUUGAUGGUAUUGCUGAUUUGAAGAGGGCUACUGAGUCUUUUGUUGCUUGAAUUUGGAUUAGUUUUUGUUAUUUCAGACGUGGGAUUUUGUGUCGCUGUUGUAGAUUUUGUUGUUUUAUGUUGUUUAUGGAUGAUUAAGUUUUAUUUCGUAGCUUACUGUUCAGAGUUGACAAAACGUAAAUAGCAGCCCAUUUAUAAUUUGAAUAUGAUCUCUUGUUCUGUUGCUUUUUAAUUAAUGGUCAAUUGUGCAAGUUAAUUCUCAUGGAAGGUUGUUAUUGAUCAUCAACUUAAUCUUCAAUUUUCAUGUUUAACUAGAUGCCGUGAUUAUGAUGAUUAGUUUAACUGGGAAUGUCCUUUUCAAUUUGCAACCAUGACAAGGAGAUGGGGUUCAGGACGAAGGGUAAUAAUCUCUGCUACCUUUCUGGGGAAGUUUACUACGUGUAUAUAUAGAAUCAUGGACGGUUUUAGGAGUACAAGUGUCCAGCUUUUUAAUUUUCUUUUUCUUUUAGCUUUUAUUCCAUUGCCUACUUUUGUUUUCUAUCAGUUACAACAUUUUCUUUUACUAGUUUAUCAACAGAUGGGGAUUAUUUCAUGAAUAAUUGCUAAAAGUCGAACUACCAAUACCCCAUAGAAAUGUCCAAUAUGUUAACGUAGCCAGCCACUGCCUGGUUCCUUUUUAUCUUUCUAUUGCUUUAUGCCUCUUGGGCUUAAUAUUUCUAAAAUUAUUGGCCUAAAAGUAAUUAAACCCAGUUAGUCGCUGUUUUCACUUAUUACACUCAGCAUAAUACCCACAUUGAAAGUAAUUCUAGGCCUAGGAAGAGGAUAUAAAUCAUUUUCAGCCCAGCAAGGCCCCAUUACUUGAGACUUUUUGGAAAACAUUAGGACUAUCCUUUGAUUGAAAAAUGAAGUAUUAUUGACCAAUUGAUUGAAAAAGAAAUGAAUAUAUUUGUAUAUAUUAAUUCAAUUUGAUUAUCUGGUGAAAUGCCAGUGAAACAGCAGCUAGGCUAAGGCUAGCAAUGGACAUGCAAAUGCUGUUUCCAAAUAAACACCUUUGUGCUGCUGCUUUAGUUGAAAUUAGUGUCGUCAGCAGUGAAUAUAUUGCUCUAUUGGAUUCAAAUGGUGAAUUAAUUUGAAAGAAAAAGUGAGAAAAUUAAUGGUGAGUGAUAAAUGCCAACGUUGUAUGUUCACGGACUGAGAGUUGGAUAAUAAUACUUAGUGCAUUUAAGUAAUUAAAAUUUAGAGACAUUGUAUGAUCAUCCACUGAGAACUGGAUAAUAAUUGCGACAUGGCUAGCAAUUUUUGUCAAAGUCCUUGAUUCAAUAUUCUGUAAACAAAAGCUAGCUGGCUUGUAUAAAUUGUCUAAAUUUGUAUCUAGUUUCACCUUUGAAAAACUUGGUCUUUCACUUCUAAUAUUAGUGAUGGCUUAAUAGAUAUUAAUUUGGAAAUUUUGAUUGAUUUUAGAAGGCUGUGAGGUUUGAUUUGUUAAAAGAGACAGCUGAAAAUUAGUGAUGACUUAAUAGAUAUUUCAACGUAAACACUGUUAAAAGAUUUAUUUUUAUUUUUUCUUUUGGUUGUGGAAUUAUUUGUUGAUAUAACUAAACACUGUCUUUUCUUUUUGUUUUAUUGGUUACAAUAAUGAAUGACUUGUGCUUAACUGUGUUUGCUAAUAUCAGUAGUGGUUCUUUAUAUAUAUCUGUAUAUCUACAUAAGAACAUGCUCUGUUUCCUCAGCUGCAUCUCAACUGCAGUUUGAAUUUAAUUCAGCUGGUGGAGAUGAUGGAACCAUAAGGUAUAAUCGAGCCACGUCAAUGCAUGCAGCCAGAGAUCGUUGAUCACAUUCAUCCUAAGCUUUCAGAUUACAAUGACUUGGCUAGAAGAAAGAAGAUAGCAGUAUUUUUUAUUCAUUUCUUCCCACAAUUGAUAUUCAUGAUGAAUUUCCUGUGUUUCAUCAUGUUAAUUAUGUUUAUCCUUUUUUUAUAUUAAAAAACUUAUGUUUUUAUUUAAGUUUUUAUUAUUUCAUUUUCUUAGCUGUGGAUACAAUAAUAUUCAUGUCGUAAAUCAUGGCAAGAGCACUUCCA